Long non-coding RNA from Dicentrarchus labrax (European seabass), 3265 nucleotides. RefSeq lists it as uncharacterized. The transcript has 7 exons. The record is from RefSeq and is a predicted model, not a curated record. NCBI's taxonomy places the organism in Eukaryota, Metazoa, Chordata, Actinopteri, Moronidae.
UGACAAGACAUUAAUAAGCUAGGUAGCUACCUAGCUAAAGAUAAUUAGCAGGUGGCUAACAAGCAAACAAUUUAAAGCUGAAUGAUUUUAAUAUUAACACAAAAUAAGUUCAAUACACCUUAAAUAUUUUACCCUACUAUGAGCUGUUCCUUAAUUUACAUUAGCACUCCUUCAGGAGCAUAAUACAAUUAAACACAUUAACCAAAGCUAGCACUUAGCUAGCGAUUAGCGGUUAGCACUUAGCUAGCGAUUAGCGCAGAGCUAGCCAUUAGCGCAGAGCUAGCCAUUAGCGCAGAGCUAUGGUAGCACGUAGACAUGGUAUUAACAUAUGGGCCAGAGCAAGGCACAAUCAAAAUUGCUUUAGGAAUUUUCUAGUUAUUGUGCCUUGCAUAAGCAAGCACAAUACUAUUAUUCCCCAUACUUAUUAUAAUAUUUUAUUCUUCCGUACGCUUUUUCGGCGCGCUUCUUCUCCCAGAGCUUUGAUCGCACGUACACAAAAAAGGUAUCAAAACGUGCGGCUCGGCCGGGAAUCGAGUGCUAUGACUUUUCUAAGAAUUUCGCCAAACGGUUCGCCGGUAAAUCGCCAAAAACCGGUCCAAAAAAUGAAUGGGUGUGUAUUGCGAGAACCUCCAACCGAAAAAAACUGCCAGAGUGCGUGACAUCAUCGCUAGAGUGUGGGGAGAGAGAAAAAUUUGUCGAAAAAUAAAUUUGUAAACUGCUGUCAUGGCCACAAAUUUCACUGUACAGAAAUAAUUUAUAGAUAGAAACGUAGGUAAAUUCGUUGGGGUCGCAGUGAUACUACUGCUGAAGCUGUCAGACAAAUAGUUUUGGCGGGAGACGCACUGAUGCGCCAGCAACUCCCUCUCAUGGCCCCAUCUACUCCCAUGUUAAAAUGGAGAGGAGGAUUCUUGAAAAACGCUCGUUGAACCUCUUCUCUCUCAAUCUCCCCAGGUCACAUUUUUUAACUUUAACCACUGAAACUCGGCAGCGCUAUAGUCAACAAGAUGACGACGCUCACGGUCUUUUCGGUUUUCAUUUCGGUCGUUCCUGGCCAUGCUUUUGAGGGGAUUCAUUUUAAAUGUUUUCUGUCUCUCUGAGGAGUUAGAGACAGAGAGAGAGCGUGCGCAGCUGCUGUGGGCUCCCCUGAUUGCCAUGACAACCAAAGCCUGCUCACACACACACACACACACACACAGCUAGCUACAGAGAAUGACAAGACAUUAAUAAGCUAGCGCUAGCUGGCUAGCUAAAGAUAAUUAGCAGGUGGCUAACAAGCAAACAAUUUAAAGCUGAAUGAUUUUAAUAUUAACACAAAAUAAGAACAAUACACCUUAAAUAUUUUACCCUACUAUGAGCUGUUCCUUAAUUUACAUUAGCACUCCUUCAGGAGCAUAAUACAAUUAAACACAUUAACCAAAGCUAGCACUUAGCUAGCGAUUAGCGCUUAGCUAGCGAUUAGCAUGUAGCUAGCGAUUAGCGCUUAGCUAGCGAUUAGCAUGUAGCUAGCGAUUAGCGGUUAGCUAGCGAUUAGCGGUUAGCUAGCGAUUAGCACGUAGCUAAGCGCUAGCUUUGGUUUAUGUGUUUAUGUGUGCUAGCUCUAGCUAGCUAACUAAAGAGAAUGACAUGAUAUUAAUAUGCUAGCGCUAGCUAAGGAGGAUGACAGGUUAUCAAUAUGCUAUAGGGAGGAUUACAUGGCAUUAAUAAUCUAGCGCUAGCUGGCUAGCUAAAGAUAAUUAGCAGGUGGCUAACAAGCAAACAAUUUAAAGCUGAAUGAUUUUAAUAUUAACACAAAAUAAGAACAAUACACCUUAAAUAUUUUACCCUACUAUGAGCUGUUCCUUAAUUUACAUUAGCACUCCUUCAGGAGCAUAACACAAUUAAACACAUUAACCAAAGCUAGCACUUAGCUAGCGAUUAGCGGUUAGCUAGCGAUUAGCACGUAGCUAAGCGCUACCUUUGGUUAAUGUGUUUAUGUGUGCUAGCUCUAGCUAGCUAGCUAAAGAGAAUGACAUGAUAUUAAUAUGCUAGCGCUAGCUAAGGAGGAUGACAGGUUAUCAAUAUGCUAUAGGGAGGAUUACAUGGCAUUAAUAAGCUAGCGCUAGCUGGCUAGCUAAAGAUAAUUAGCAGGUGGCUAACAAACAAACAAUUUAAAGCUGAAUGAUUUUAAUAUUAACACAAAAUAAGAACAAUACACCUUAAAUAUUUUACCCUACUAUGAGCUGUUCCUUAAUUUACAUUAGCACUCCUUCAGGAGCAUAAUACAAUUAAACACAUUAACCACAGCUAGCACUUAGCUAGCGAUUAGCAUGUAGCUAGCGAUUAGCGCUUAGCUAGCGAUUAGCAUGUAGCUAGCGAUUAGCGGUUAGCUAGCGAUUAGCGGUUAGCUAGCGAUUAGGACGUAGCUAAGCGCUAGCUUUGGUUUAUGUGUUUAUGUGUGCUAGCUCUAGCUAGCUAACUAAAGAGAAUGACAUGAUAUUAAUAUGCUAGCGCUAGCUAAGGAGGAUGACAGGUUAUCAAUAUGCUAUAGGGAGGAUUACAUGGCAUUAAUAAUCUAGCGCUAGCUGGCUAGCUAAAGAUAAUUAGCAGGUGGCUAACAAACAAACAAUUUAAAGCUGAAUGAUUUUAAUAUUAACACAAAAUAAGAACAAUACACCUUAAAUAUUUUACCCUACUAUGAGCUGUUCCUUAAUUUACAUUAGCACUCCUUCAGGAGCAUAAUACAAUUAAACACAUUAACCACAGCUAGCACUUAGCUAGCGAUUAGCGCUUAGCUAGCGAUUAGCAUGUAGCUAGCGAUUAGCGCUUAGCUAGCGAUUAGCAUGUAGCUAGCGAUUAGCGGUUAGCUAGCGAUUAGCGGUUAGCUAGCGAUUAGCACGUAGCUAAGCACUAGCUUUGGUUUAUGUGUUUAUGUGUGCUAGCUCUAGCUAGCUAACUAAAGAGAAUGACAUGAUAUUAAUAUGCUAGCGCUAGCUAAGGAGGAUGACAGGUUAUCAAUAUGCUAUAGGGAGGAUUACAUGGCAUUAAUAAUCUAGCGCUAGCUGGCUAGCUAAAGAUAAUUAGCAGGUGGCUAACAAACAAACAAUUUAAAGCUGAAUGAUUUUAAUAUUAACACAAAAUAAGUUCAAUACACCUUAAAUAUUUUACCCUACUAUCAGCUGUUCCUUAAUUUACAUUAGCACUCCUUCAGGAGCAUAAUACAAUUAAACACAUUAACCAAAGCUAGCACUUAGCUAUCGAUUAGCGCUUAGCUAGCGAUUAGCACGUA